UACGUAGGGAGCAAGCGUUAUCCGGAUUUAUUGGGUGUAAAGGGUGCGUAGACGGGAAAAUAAGUUAGUUGUGAAAUCCCUCGGCUCAACUGAGGAACUGCAACUAAAACUGUUUUUCUUGAGUAUUGGAGAGGAAAGCGGAAUUCCUAGUGUAGCGGUGAAAUGCGUAGAUAUUAGGAGGAACACCAGUGGCGAAGGCGGCUUUCUGGACAAAAACUGACGUUGAGGCACGAAAGUGUGGGGAGCAA
RNAcentral lists this ribosomal RNA (248 nucleotides) under uncultured Oscillospiraceae bacterium. RNAcentral describes it as "partial 16S ribosomal RNA". It matches the Rfam family "Bacterial small subunit ribosomal RNA", at positions 524 to 771 of the family's 1533-position model. The record is from RNAcentral. Lineage: Bacteria; Bacillati; Bacillota; Clostridia; Eubacteriales; Oscillospiraceae.